This 266-nucleotide long non-coding RNA is filed under the name Lathyrus oleraceus (garden pea). Its description in RNAcentral is "Pisum sativum (pea) long non-coding RNA (PSAT_LNC006761)". Lineage: Eukaryota; Viridiplantae; Streptophyta; Magnoliopsida; Fabales; Fabaceae. The record is from RNAcentral.
AAAAUAUCAAUAUAAAAAAAUACAAAAAAAUACUCUCUUUAGUUCAUUAAAAUGUAAAAGCACAAAAAUAUUUCUUUCAAUUCAUUUAAAUCUAAAAAGAUCAAAAAUAAACUUUUUUAAAAAUAACACCUAUACAUUAAUCAUCUAACUAAAAAAUAAAAUAAAAAUAAAAGACAAAAAAUACCUUUCACAGUUAAAAUUCACUGAAACUCAUCAAACUAAGUUUUCGCCCCGUGCGACAAAUUCCCUUUUUUCCCCUGAGCGAC